This 429-nucleotide ribosomal RNA is filed under the name Gemmatimonadota bacterium. RNAcentral describes it as "Gemmatimonadetes bacterium partial 16S ribosomal RNA". It matches the Rfam family "Bacterial small subunit ribosomal RNA", at positions 355 to 776 of the family's 1533-position model. Lineage: Bacteria; Pseudomonadati; Gemmatimonadota. The record is from RNAcentral.
UAGGGAAUCUUCGGCAAUGGACGAAAGUCUGACCGAGCAACGCCGCGUGAGUGAAGAAGGUUUUCGGAUCGUAAAACUCUGUUGUUAGAGAAGAACAAGGACGUUAGUAACUGAACGUCCCCUGACGGUAUCUAACCAGAAAGCCACGGCUAACUACGUGCCAGCAGCCGCGGUAAUACGUAGGUGGCAAGCGUUGUCCGGAUUUAUUGGGCGUAAAGCGAGCGCAGGCGGUUUCUUAAGUCUGAUGUGAAAGCCCCCGGCUCAACCGGGGAGGGUCAUUGGGAACUGGGAGACUUGAGUGCAGUAGAGGAGAGUGGAAUUCCAUGUGUAGCGGUGAAAUGCGUAGAUAUAUGUAGGAACACCAGUGGCGAAGGCGGCUCUCUGGUCUGUAACUGACGCUGAGGCUCGAAAGCGUGGGGAGCAAACAGG